AUUUUAAAAAUAGUUUACUUCAAUGUAAUAUAAAUUAAGAUAAAGUUAUUUUCUUACCUUUUGCAUAAUGGUGUCACUAUAAGUCUCCUAUAUUUUAAUUUCCCGAAAAAGAAAGAUCUAUUUAGUAAAGUGCUAUUAGGAAAUAACAUACUGUUGAAAAAUUAAUAUAUAGUACUAAUUAGGAGCGAAACACUCACAAUUUCUUAGAUAUCUGGAUAAAAUUAAAAUAUAUAAAGUAUAUAGAACAUUUAAUAAGUGAUAAGAUUUAUUAAACCUAGAGUAUAAAAUUAAAAUAUAAAAUUCUAAGAAAAUAUCUAAAAAAUUUUAAAUAUAACAACAUAACUUUUUCCCUAACCUUCUGAAAUAAAUUUACAUGUCUUUAUACUACACUAAGCUAUAAUUAAUGUUAUAAUAAGUAUAUUAAUCAGAAUUUAUAAGUAAGUAACUCGGCAAAAAUUUUUACCAACUGUUUAUCAAAAACAUUGCUUUUAGAUAUAAUUAAAAGUAAAACCUGCCCAAUGAGAUCUUAUUUCUUUAAUGGCCGCAGUACUUUGACUGUGCUAAGGUAGCAUAAUAAUUUGGCUUUUAAUUAAAGUCGGGAAUGAAAGGGAUAAUGGUAAUAAACUGUCUCAUAGUUAACUUUAUAAAAAUUAUUUUUAAAGGUGAAAAUACCUUUAGUAUUUUAAAUUAGACGAGAAGACCCUAUGAAUUAUUACUAAUGUAAGAAUUACUUAUUAAGUUUUUGUUGGGGCAACAAAGUUAAAAUACUCCAUCUUUAACUAACUUAAUUUAAUAGUAUUUUGGAAGGUACUUCAUAGAAUAAUAUAAAUUACCAUAGGGAUAACAGCAUAAUUAUUUUAAUAGAUUAUGACCUCGAUGUUGGAUUAGGGACAUUAAUUAUUAGCCAUUAUUAAUGAUAGUUCUGUUCGAACUUAUAACCUUACAUGAUCUGAGUUCAGACCGGCGUAAGCCAGGUCAGUUUCUAUCUAUUUGCUUUAGUAUAUUAGUACGAAAGGAUUGUAUACUAUUAUUU
RNAcentral lists this ribosomal RNA (1033 nucleotides) under Virpazaria ripkeni. RNAcentral's name for it is "16S ribosomal RNA". The record is from RNAcentral. Lineage: Eukaryota; Metazoa; Mollusca; Gastropoda; Stylommatophora; Spelaeodiscidae.